Molecule: long non-coding RNA, 441 nt
Filed under: Zea mays
Lineage: Eukaryota; Viridiplantae; Streptophyta; Magnoliopsida; Poales; Poaceae
Description: drought responsive lncRNA
Source: RNAcentral
GCCGGGCUUUGUAGAAUACAAUCCGGGAAGAUAGUUUCCCAAUCAGCCGUGUAGAAAACACGAUCCAGUAGAACUAGAUUAGGAGCAUUCCGCUCAAUGGACCAUGUGUAUUUUCUACCCAACAGCGGUAACUCUUUUAGUUGAAGGUCAUUCAAAGUUCGCCUAAAACGUCCCAUCAUAGCUCUAUCAAGAUUAUUGUUGUUCUUAUCUUCUGCCCGAUAAAUAAGAUUGAAAUCACUACCAACUACCCAAGGACCAGUGCAUGCUUCACGAAUAACACAAAAUUCCUGCAAGAACUGUACCUUGGGGUUAUCGGAUUGCGGCCGUACACCCCUGUGAACCACCAGGGGGAGCUUUCUUCAAGAUCAAAUUGAGCCGAGAUCGAGAAAGCAUCAAAACUUGAGGUCAAGAGUUUACAAACAUUGCUUCUCCAGGUUAGCA